RNAcentral lists this long non-coding RNA (232 nucleotides) under Capsicum annuum. RNAcentral's name for it is "long non-coding RNA (CANN_LNC014274)". The record is from RNAcentral. Lineage: Eukaryota; Viridiplantae; Streptophyta; Magnoliopsida; Solanales; Solanaceae.
AUUCUAUAACCUACUUGCUAACCACUUGGCAUGUAUUAAAAUCUUAGCAUAUAUCAGGAGCACAUAAUUGAGGAAAUUACUACUAUCACCUCUCCACUUGUUCACUAAGGUCCUUCAACAAAACACUAGACAUGCACGGGUUCACACUUAUUUGGGAAUUUCCUACUACCAUGGAAUAAUUCAUUCACAUGGGUAUUUUAUCAACACACUAAGCACAAACUAACUCACAAUU